GAUGAAGAACGCAGCGAAAUGCGAUAAGUAAUGUGAAUUGCAGAAUUCAGUGAAUCAUCGAAUCUUUGAACGCACAUUGCGCCCGUCAGUAUUCUGGCGGGCAUGCCUGUUCGAGCGUCAUUACGCCCCUCAAGUCCCCUGUGGACUUGGUGUUGGGGAUCGGCGAGGCUGGUUUUCCAGCACAGCCGUCCCUUAAAUUAAUUGCCGGUCUCGCCGUGGCCCUCCUCUGCGCAGUAGUAAAACACUCGCAACAGGAGCCCGGCGCGGUCCACUGCCGUAAAACCCCCCAACUUUUUAUAGUUGACCUCGAAUCAGGUAGGACUACCCGCUGAACUUAAGCAUAUCAAUAAGCGGAGGA
RNAcentral lists this unclassified non-coding RNA (358 nucleotides) under soil metagenome. RNAcentral describes it as "partial contains 5.8S ribosomal RNA, internal transcribed spacer 2, and large subunit ribosomal RNA". The stretch from base 1 to 120 matches the Rfam family "5.8S ribosomal RNA", at positions 35 to 154 of the family's 154-position model. The record is from RNAcentral.